CCUACGGGAGACAGCAGUGGGGGAUAUUGGACAAUGGGGGGAACCCUGAUCCAGCGACGCCGCGUGAGUGAAGAAGUAUCUCGGUAUGUAAAGCUCUAUCAGCAGGGAAGAAGAAAUGACGGUACCUGAGUAAGAAGCCCCGGCUAACUACGUGCCAGCAGCCGCGGUAAUACGUAGGGGGCAAGCGUUAUCCGGAAUUACUGGGUGUAAAGGGAGCGUAGACGGUGAUGUAAGUCUGGAGUGAAAGGCGGGGGCCCAACCCCCGGACUGCUCUGGAAACUAUGUGACUGGAGUGCAGGAGAGGUGAGCGGAAUGCCUAGUGUAGCGGUGAAAUGCGUAGAUAUUAGGAGGAACAUCAGGGGCGAAGGCGACUUACUGGACUGUAACUGACACUGAGGCACGAAAGCGUGGGGAGCAAACAGGAUUAGAUACCCCUGUAGUC
This 442-nucleotide ribosomal RNA is filed under the name uncultured bacterium. Its description in RNAcentral is "partial 16S ribosomal RNA". It matches the Rfam family "Bacterial small subunit ribosomal RNA", at positions 338 to 795 of the family's 1533-position model. The record is from RNAcentral.